GAUGAACGCUGGCGGCGCGCCUAACACAUGCAAGUCGAACGGCACCCCUCUCCGGAGGGAAGCGAGUGGCGAACGGCUGAGUAACACGUGGAGAACCUGCCCCCUCCCCCGGGAUAGCCGCCCGAAAGGACGGGUAAUACCGGAUACCCCCGGGCGCCGCAUGGCGCCCGGGCUAAAGCCCCGACGGGAGGGGAUGGCUCCGCGGCCCAUCAGGUAGACGGCGGGGUGACGGCCCACCGUGCCGACAACGGGUAGCCGGGUUGAGAGACCGACCGGCCAGAUUGGGACUGAGACACGGCCCAGACUCCUACGGGAGGCAGCAGUGGGGAAUCUUGCGCAAUGGGGGGAACCCUGACGCAGCGACGCCGCGUGCGGGACGGAGGCCUUCGGGUCGUAAACCGCUUUCAGCAGGGAAGAGUCAAGACUGUACCUGCAGAAGAAGCCCCGGCUAA
This 452-nucleotide ribosomal RNA is filed under the name uncultured bacterium. RNAcentral's name for it is "bacterial SSU rRNA". It matches the Rfam family "Bacterial small subunit ribosomal RNA", at positions 28 to 500 of the family's 1533-position model. The record is from RNAcentral.